RNAcentral lists this ribosomal RNA (247 nucleotides) under uncultured bacterium. RNAcentral describes it as "partial 16S ribosomal RNA". It matches the Rfam family "Bacterial small subunit ribosomal RNA", at positions 523 to 769 of the family's 1533-position model. The record is from RNAcentral.
AUACGAAGGGGGCUAGCGUUGUUCGGAAUCACUGGGCGUAAAGCGCGCGUAGGCGGUCAUGCAAGUCAGAGGUGAAAUGCCGGGGCUUAACCCCGGAACUGCCUUUGAAACUGUGGCGCUAGAAUCUCAGAGGGGAUAGCGGAAUUCCAAAUGUAGGGGUGAAAUCCGUAGAUAUUUGGAGGAACACCGGUGGCGAAGGCGGCUAUCUGGAUGAGUAUUGACGCUGAGGCGCGAAAGCGUGGGGAUC